This 279-nucleotide ribosomal RNA is filed under the name Ligilactobacillus murinus. RNAcentral's name for it is "Lactobacillus murinus partial 16S ribosomal RNA". It matches the Rfam family "Bacterial small subunit ribosomal RNA", at positions 1 to 253 of the family's 1533-position model. Lineage: Bacteria; Bacillati; Bacillota; Bacilli; Lactobacillales; Lactobacillaceae. The record is from RNAcentral.
UUAAAUUGAGAGUUUGAUCCUGGCUCAGGAUGAACGCUGGCGGCGUGCCUAAUACAUGCAAGUCGAACGAAACUUCUUUAUCACCGAGUGCUUGCACUCACCGAUAAAGAGUUGAGUGGCGAACGGGUGAGUAACACGUGGGCAACCUGCCCAAAAGAGGGGGAUAACACUUGGAAACAGGUGCUAAUACCGCAUAACCAUAGUUACCGCAUGGUAACUAUGUAAAAGGUGGCUAUGCUACCGCUUUUGGAUGGGCCCGCGGCGCAUUAGCUAGUUGGU